This 468-nucleotide ribosomal RNA is filed under the name uncultured bacterium. RNAcentral's name for it is "partial 16S ribosomal RNA". It matches the Rfam family "Bacterial small subunit ribosomal RNA", at positions 28 to 507 of the family's 1533-position model. The record is from RNAcentral.
GACGAACGCUGGCGGCGUGCUUAACACAUGCAAGUCGAACGGUAAGGCCCUGCCUUUGUGGGGUGCUCGAGUGGCGAACGGGUGAGUAACACGUGAGUAACCUGCCCUUGACUUUGGGAUAGCUUCAGGAAACUGGGGCUAAUACCGGAUAGGAGCUCCUGCUGCAUGGUGGGGGUUGGAAAGUUUCGGCGGUUGGGGAUGGACUCGCGGCUUAUCAGCGUGUUGGUGGGGUAGUGGCUUACCAAGGCUUUGACGGGUAGCCGGCCUGAGAGGGUGACCGGCCCCAUUGGGACUGAGAUACGGCCCAGACUCGUACGGGAGGCAGCAGUGGGGAAUAGUGCACAAUGGGCGGAAGCCUGAUGCAGCAACGCCGCGUGCGGGAUGACGGCCUUCGGGUUGUAAACCGCUUUCGCCUGUGACGAAGCGUGAGUGACGGUAAUGGGUAAAGAAGCACCGGCUAACUACGUG